This 429-nucleotide ribosomal RNA is filed under the name Acidobacteriota bacterium. RNAcentral describes it as "Acidobacteria bacterium partial 16S ribosomal RNA". It matches the Rfam family "Bacterial small subunit ribosomal RNA", at positions 355 to 776 of the family's 1533-position model. Lineage: Bacteria; Pseudomonadati; Acidobacteriota. The record is from RNAcentral.
UGGGGAAUUUUGGACAAUGGGGGAAACCCUGAUCCAGCCAUCCCGCGUGUGCGAUGAAGGCCUUCGGGUUGUAAAGCACUUUUGGCAGGAAAGAAACGUCAUGGGUUAAUACCCCGUGAAACUGACGGUACCUGCAGAAUAAGCACCGGCUAACUACGUGCCAGCAGCCGCGGUAAUACGUAGGGUGCAAGCGUUAAUCGGAAUUACUGGGCGUAAAGCGUGCGCAGGCGGUUCGGAAAGAAAGAUGUGAAAUCCCAGAGCUCAACUUUGGAACUGCAUUUUUAACUACCGGGCUAGAGUGUGUCAGAGGGAGGUGGAAUUCCGCGUGUAGCAGUGAAAUGCGUAGAUAUGCGGAGGAACACCGAUGGCGAAGGCAGCCUCCUGGGAUAACACUGACGCUCAUGCUCGAAAGCGUGGGGAGCAAACAGG